CGCUUAAUCGAUUGAAAAAGCAUCGAUUAUAGAUGUUUACUAUUGCGCGCUUCAAUUCAUGGAUUAAUUAAUCGAAUCUUUCAUAUUAGAAUAGUUGUAUGUAUUGAUUUAGCCAACACAUCUUUCAAUAUCUAACGACAAACUUUCAUAAUACAAGUAGUGUAUUAAUAUUAAAUUAUUAUUAAUUUCUCUUAUUAUAUGUAUACAGGAACAAACUACUGCUUCCUUCUAGCUCAAUUACCUUACUAGAUACAAUAACAGAAGAAUUAAUAGUUUCGUCGUUACACAUUGAACCAUCCCUAUAUGCAGAUGUGAAUUAAAAUAAUGUUAGUCAUCUAAAAAAACAAUUCUAAUGGAGAUGAUUAUCGAUCGUGCCUUGGUUGUUCCCGCAUGCUUAUAAACCGAUAACGGCGAUGUCGUUAUAUAUGAUUUAAGAUUAUAUAAAUUCGUGAAUAACGAUUUGAAGACUAACAUCGGUGGCUCGAUACAAUAUCAAAUUUUGUUUACCAUGAAAUAAACUAAUAACUUCAAGCUGUCAUUUAAGAAUAAAUACAUAUUCAACUAAAUCGAUCCUUCCGCUUGAUCCUUAUAAAUCGAUGUUAUGUGUAACUUAAUAUUAUGCAAUCGCGCCUUUUAAUAAAGAACAAUGUGGAAAAUUAUAAAUGCCCCACCCAAAGGACGCCACGAUAUUCACAUCAUCUAUAGUUACGUGCAUUAACCUUACCACUUUCGACGAAAAGCAGGAAUGCCGCGAAAAAUGUGUAGCUCCUAAUGCCGCCAAUGGCGCCCAUUUCGAAAGAUCUCUUUACCAAAGAUAAAGCACAAAACACUUUUGAUAACUGUAAUGUAAUGUUCUUAUAUGUUUUCUUGGAACCACUUGCUAAAACAAUUACAUCUGUACACACGUCUAAUUUCCGUUCGAAUUUAUAACCAUCUGAAUGAACGGAACAACGACGCGAAAGCGACUGACUAAGCUAGAGAGAGGACCAUGCAUAAAGUAAGAAGUAAGUAGUAUGACGUAGCCGAUCCGCUCCGACUCGAACCGAAAAUGGUCGAAGUGAGUAGAUCGCACGAUGUGAUCUAUAAUCGAUUUGUGAAUCUUAAUAUCUUUUUAUAUCCAAUGUUUAAAACAUGUUAAAAAUGUUACUGAGGAUAAUUCGGUAUUGUAUAUUAGUGUUUAUUAUAUUUCUAUUGUUUUGUCUUUACAUAAAUAAUAUAUCAUUCUAAAAUUUAUAUACGUACGCAUUCACAGUAAGAGGUACUAUAGAAUAGUAUACUGUACUGUAAUUUUAAAUUAAAUUAAAUUUCAUACAAUUCGAUUUAAUCGUAUAAGUAUCAUUAGACUGAGAUGUUUUCACGAAAUUAUUUUACAUUAUUUUAUGUAAUACAAACAUAACAUCUUUAAAUUUUCUGUUUGAAAAAAUAAAAAGAAAAUAAAUAUAUCUUCACUUUUCUUCAACAACAUGAUAAAUUAUUUAUUAUUUUUCCUUGCGGCUACUAAUUAAAUAAUUUACGUAAUUUCCGUAAUUACGUAAUAAAUAUAACUUAUAUAUAUUUUUUAUGUUUAAAGUAUUUGUCUAAAAGAAUUUAUAAAGCUACAACAGAUCGCUAAAGCAUUAAUUUUCUACGGCAUCAUGCUUUACGGGCUAAUUUAGAAUUCUGUUUG
Bombus huntii is the source of this 1666-nucleotide long non-coding RNA. RefSeq lists it as uncharacterized. The record is from RefSeq and is a predicted model, not a curated record. The transcript has 2 exons. NCBI's taxonomy places the organism in Eukaryota, Metazoa, Arthropoda, Insecta, Hymenoptera, Apidae.